This 492-nucleotide ribosomal RNA is filed under the name uncultured bacterium. RNAcentral describes it as "partial 16S ribosomal RNA". It matches the Rfam family "Bacterial small subunit ribosomal RNA", at positions 29 to 507 of the family's 1533-position model. The record is from RNAcentral.
AGUGAACGCUGGCGGUAGGCCUAACACAUGCAAGUCGAACGGCAGCACAGUAAGAGCUUGCUCUUACGGGUGGCGAGUGGCGGACGGGUGAGGAAUACAUCGGAAUCUACUUUUUCGUGGGGGAUAACGUAGGGAAACUUACGCUAAUACCGCAUACGACCUACGGGUGAAAGCAGGGGAUCUUCGGACCCUGCGCGAUUGAAUGAGCCGAUGUCGGAUUAGCUAGUUGGCGGGGUAAAGGCCCACCAAGGCGACGAUCCGUAGCUGGUCUGAGAGGAUGAUCAGCCACACUGGAACUGAGAAACGGUCCAGACUCCUACGGGAGGCAGCAGUGGGGAAUAUUGGACAAUGGGCGCAAGCCUGAUCCAGCCAUACCGCGUGGGUGAAGAAGGCCUUCGGGUUGUAAAGCCCUUUUGUUGGGAAAGAAAAGCAGCAGGUUAAUACCCCGCUGUUCUGACGGUACCCAAAGAAUAAGCACCGGCUAACUUCGUG